RNAcentral lists this ribosomal RNA (1513 nucleotides) under metagenome. RNAcentral's name for it is "bacterial SSU rRNA". It matches the Rfam family "Bacterial small subunit ribosomal RNA". The record is from RNAcentral.
AGAAUUUGAUCUUGGUUCAGAUUGAAUGCUGACGGCGUGGAUGAGGCAUGCAAGUCGAACGGGUUUAUAUGGCAACAUGUAAACUAGUGGCGGAAGGGUUAGUAAUACAUGGGUAACCUACCUUUAGCUCUGGGAUAACUGCUGGAAACGGCUGCUAAUACCGGAUAAGGUUUCAUAACAUAAGUUGUGGUAAUUAAAGCAGGGGACUUUGAAAGAGGCCUUGUGGCAAAAGAUGGGCCCAUGGGAUAUCAGCUUGUUGGUGUGGUAAAGGCGCACCAAGGCUAAGACGUCUAGGCGGAUUGAGAGAUUGACCGCCAACACUGGGACUGAGACACUGCCCAGACUCCUACGGGAGGCUGCAGUCGAGAAUCAUUCGCAAUGGGCGAAAGCCUGACGAUGCGACGCCGUGUGAGUGAAGAAGGCCUUCGGGUUGUAAAACUCUUUCGCUUAGGAACAAGGGAGGUUAACUAAUAUUUAACUGACUUGAGGGUACUAGGUAAAGAAGCGCCGGCUAACUUCGUGCCAGCAGCUGCGGUAAUACGAAGGGCGCAAGCAUUAAUCGGAAUUAUUGGGCGUAAAGGGCGUCUAGGCGGCCAUGUAAGUCAAGUGUGAAAUCCUGGGGCUCAACUCCAGGGUUGCACUUGAAACUACAUAGCUAGAGGAUAGGCGGGGAAAACGGAAUUCCACAAGUAGCGGUGAAAUGCGUAGAUAUGUGGAGGAACACCGGUGGCGAAGGCGGUUUUCUAGCCUACUCCUGACGCUGAAGCGCGAAAGCAAGGGGAGCAAACAGGAUUAGAUACCCUGGUAGUCCUUGCUGUAAACGAUGCAUACUUGAUGUAGUCGGACUCAAUCCCGGCUGUGUCGAAGCUAACGCGAUAAGUAUGCCGCCUGGGGAGUACGCUCGCAAGGGUGAAACUCAAAGGAAUUGACGGGGACUCGCACAAGCAGUGGUGCAUGUGGUUUAAUUCGAUGCCACGCGAAGAACCUUACCCAGACUUGACAUGCAGAGCACAGCUACAGAAAUGUAGUCUCCCGAAAGGGGCUCUGUGCAGGUGCUGCAUGGCUGUCGUCAGCUCGUGCCGUGAGGUGUUGGGUUAAGUCCCGCAACGAGCGCAACCCUUAUCGUUAGUUGCCAGCAUUUAGGAUGGGGACUCUAACGAGACUGCCUAGGUUAACUAGGAGGAAGGUGAGGAUGACGUCAAGUCCGCAUGGCCCUUAUGUCUGGGGCUACACACGUGCAACAAUGGCCAGCACAGAAGGCAGCGAAGCCGCGAGGUGGAGCAAAUCUUAAAAAGCUGGUCCCAGUUCGGAUUGUAGUCUGCAAUUCAACUACAUGAAGUUGGAAUUGCUAGUAAUGGCGUGUCAGCUAUAACGCCGUGAAUACGUUCUCGGGUCUUGUACACACCGCCCGUCACAUCAUGGAAGUUGGUUUUGCCCGAAGUCGCUGACUCAACCGCAAGGGGAGAGGCGCCGAAGGUAAGGCUGAUGACUGGGAUGAAGUCGAGACAAGGUA